GUAAUCUUAGAAGGAACUCAAGACCCCUGGGCUAAUGAGUUUCCAUUCCUGACUGUGCAAUAAGAGCUGGAUGCAUCUGUAACAAAAGGCGGGACCCCUGAGCCCUGGAGUACAGAGAUUCCUUGGGGAAUUCGGCAGUUAGUGGGGCUUUAUGGCAGAUUCUUUCAGGGUUAUGAUGGGCUUGGGGGGAUGGCAGGAGGGCAUCUCAGCGGACCUGUGCCUGGGUAAGGAAUGGGUAGAGGGUCAGAGAACUUGCUGGGCACUUCUCUGGGUGGAGAAUGAGCAACAGAAGUGUCCCAUGGUUAGGAUGAGGCCGCCUCAUUUGAAAUGUUAAUAAAUCAUCUGGAAAAGGGAUUUACGCAGUGAAAGCUGGGGAUGUGCAAAUGGCACUAAGUUUUUUGAGGGAAUGAAAUGUCAAGCCAAUGGGGAUACGCUACAGAAUCCCACAAGGGUGUGUACGAGUGGGCAGAGAAGUGACAGAUGAGAUUUGGUGUGGGCAAGUGUAAGAUAAUGUAUUUAAAGACAUAUCUCAAGUGCUGUAUGACUUCCUUCUGAGAUGAUUUGGGGAGGUCAUCCAGUUCUAUGGUGAGUAGAUCAUUUAUGCCAAUGAGCCCCAAGUUCAUGCCCUCAGCCCUGGCUUCACCUGAGCUCCAGACUCACCAUUUGACUCUCACUGACAUCACCACUGGGGUGCCUCACAGGUGCUCCAGAUCUGGCAGGGCGUCAAUGAGUUCUUGCUUCUUCCCUUACACCUGUUCCUCCCGCAGCCUUCCUCAUCUCACUAAAUGGCAACUCCAUGGAGCCUAUCCUUGCAUCUCUGCAAAAUGCACACAUCCCGAAAAAGUCGGCAGAUGGGAAAGGGAGGUAGGCAGAUAGCUGUGAAAGGUGCAUGGCCUCUGGCUUUUGGAAGGAUGACCAGAAGGGAUGGCUGGAAGCCCAAAGAACUGUGAAACUGAUGGGGGAAAGUCAAUGGGUUUCAUCAGUGAAUCCAAGGAUGGGAUGGCUAGGAUUUGGAAGUGUAAAAAGAUACAUGUCAGGAUGAAACCAAAGGAAGCUACCAGGCCCACUGUGUAUUUCCACAUGGAGUGCCGCUGCCCACCCUUCCCAGCUGUCUGCUGGAGGUAUCCUGUGCCUUUCAUCCAAAUCCUACUUUUUCUCUGCAUCC
Molecule: long non-coding RNA, 1165 nt
Filed under: Homo sapiens (human)
Lineage: Eukaryota; Metazoa; Chordata; Mammalia; Primates; Hominidae
Description: non-protein coding lnc-DAAM2-8:4
Source: RNAcentral